This 319-nucleotide unclassified non-coding RNA is filed under the name uncultured Filobasidiella. RNAcentral's name for it is "sequence contains ITS2". The stretch from base 1 to 52 matches the Rfam family "5.8S ribosomal RNA", at positions 103 to 154 of the family's 154-position model. Lineage: Eukaryota; Fungi; Basidiomycota; Tremellomycetes; Tremellales; Tremellaceae. The record is from RNAcentral.
AACGCACCUUGCACCCUUUGGUAUUCCGAAGGGUAUGCCUGUUUGAGUGUCAUGAAUACCUCAACCCCUAAUAGUUUUAUUACGAAAGGCGUGUUGGUCUUGAGCGUUUGCCGGUCUAGUAUCGGCUCGCUUUAAAUUCAUUAGCUGGAUCCACCUUGACCUGGUUCUACUCGGCGUAAUAAGUUAUUAUCGUCGAGGAUAGUCUUUUCGGAGGCUAGCCACAGUAAUGGUGCUUGAGCCGCUUCUAAUACGUUAGCUGCUUGCAGCAACACUUUUAAGCUCUGACCUCAAAUCAGGUAGGAUUACCCGCUGAACUUAA